This is a long non-coding RNA of Paramisgurnus dabryanus, 438 nucleotides long. RefSeq lists it as uncharacterized. NCBI's taxonomy places the organism in Eukaryota, Metazoa, Chordata, Actinopteri, Cypriniformes, Cobitidae. The record is from RefSeq and is a predicted model, not a curated record.
AAACUUUUUUUCACUACCCUUCAUACUACAGCUGUCGAAAAACCACAGCAACGUCGACAGACCUGGAGGCAUAGCUGUACUUGUUUAACUCACAACGACAACGGGUCAAUUAUGAGUGAAGAACCGUUCACCAAAUGAAGACCGCAGCCAGGUGACGGGAUUCUGUGGUAAUCGCAAACAGAGUGAAAUGCACACGGUGAGUAAUGAACGCAGACCUUCAGUGCCGGACCUCUGACCCGCUAACCUCCAUCCCGACAGCCAGCGCCUUCUCCGGAUGCCAUUGCGGUAUAGCUUCUCGGCUUUUUGGGUAAGAUCGAGUGGACACCGGGGACUACACGUUUAAAUGGAUUUUUGACCUUCGGCUAUGGAAGCGAGGCUUGCUCCGUCCACUCCGUGCAUCGACUCUGGCGUUUUCCGGGGACAAAUAAGGUGAGUUUA